RNAcentral lists this ribosomal RNA (2177 nucleotides) under Salmonella enterica. Its description in RNAcentral is "partial 23S ribosomal RNA". It matches the Rfam family "Bacterial large subunit ribosomal RNA", at positions 711 to 2784 of the family's 2925-position model. Lineage: Bacteria; Pseudomonadati; Pseudomonadota; Gammaproteobacteria; Enterobacterales; Enterobacteriaceae. RNAcentral also lists the same sequence under 1 other name. The record is from RNAcentral.
AGACCCGAAACCCGGUGAUCUAGCCAUGGGCAGGUUGAAGGUUGGGUAACACUAACUGGAGGACCGAACCGACUAAUGUUGAAAAAUUAGCGGAUGACCUGUGGCUGGGGGUGAAAGGCCAAUCAAACCGGGAGAUAGCUGGUUCUCCCCGAAAGCUAUUUAGGUAGCGCCUCGUGAAUUCAUCUCCGGGGGUAGAGCACUGUUUCGGCUAGGGGGCCAUCCCGGCUUACCAACCCGAUGCAAACUGCGAAUACCGGAGAAUGUUAUCACGGGAGACACACGGCGGGUGCUAACGUCCGUCGUGAAGAGGGAAACAACCCAGACCGCCAGCUAAGGUCCCAAAGUCAUGGUUAAGUGGGAAACGAUGUGGGAAGGCCCAGACAGCCAGGAUGUUGGCUUAGAAGCAGCCAUCAUUUAAAGAAAGCGUAAUAGCUCACUGGUCGAGUCGGCCUGCGCGGAAGAUGUAACGGGGCUAAACCAUGCACCGAAGCUGCGGCAGCGAACGUAUCACCCAAGACAACUUUACGGAGUUGACGAUUGACGGAGCGAAGCGACGUCAAAGCGUUCAUUAAAGUCGAGUUGGCUUAGGGAUACGUUCGUUGGGUAGGGGAGCGUUCUGUAAGCCUGUGAAGGUGUGUCGUGAGGCAUGCUGGAGGUAUCAGAAGUGCGAAUGCUGACAUAAGUAACGAUAAAGCGGGUGAAAAGCCCGCUCGCCGGAAGACCAAGGGUUCCUGUCCAACGUUAAUCGGGGCAGGGUGAGUCGACCCCUAAGGCGAGGCCGAAAGGCGUAGUCGAUGGGAAACGGGUUAAUAUUCCCGUACUUGGUGUUACUGCGAAGGGGGGACGGAGAAGGCUAUGUUGGCCGGGCGACGGUUGUCCCGGUUUAAGCGUGUAGGUGUGUGUUCCAGGUAAAUCCGGUUCACUUUAACACUGAGGCGUGACGACGAGGCACUACGGUGCUGAAGCAACAAAUGCCCUGCUUCCAGGAAAAGCCUCUAAGCAUCAGGUAACACGAAAUCGUACCCCAAACCGACACAGGUGGUCAGGUAGAGAAUACCAAGGCGCUUGAGAGAACUCGGGUGAAGGAACUAGGCAAAAUGGUGCCGUAACUUCGGGAGAAGGCACGCUGACACGUAGGUGAAGUGAUUUACUCAUGGAGCUGAAGUCAGUCGAAGAUACCAGCUGGCUGCAACUGUUUAUUAAAAACACAGCACUGUGCAAACACGAAAGUGGACGUAUACGGUGUGACGCCUGCCCGGUGCCGGAAGGUUAAUUGAUGGGGUCAGCGUAAGCGAAGCUCCUGAUCGAAGCCCCGGUAAACGGCGGCCGUAACUAUAACGGUCCUAAGGUAGCGAAAUUCCUUGUCGGGUAAGUUCCGACCUGCACGAAUGGCGUAAUGAUGGCCAGGCUGUCUCCACCCGAGACUCAGUGAAAUUGAACUCGCUGUGAAGAUGCAGUGUACCCGCGGCAAGACGGAAAGACCCCGUGAACCUUUACUAUAGCUUGACACUGAACAUUGAGCCUUGAUGUGUAGGAUAGGUGGGAGGCUUUGAAGUGUGGACGCCAGUCUGCAUGGAGCCGACCUUGAAAUACCACCCUUUAAUGUUUGAUGUUCUAACGUGGACCCGUAAUCCGGGUUGCGGACAGUGUCUGGUGGGUAGUUUGACUGGGGCGGUCUCCUCCUAAAGAGUAACGGAGGAGCACGAAGGUUGGCUAAUCCUGGUCGGACAUCAGGAGGUUAGUGCAAUGGCAUAAGCCAGCUUGACUGCGAGCGUGACGGCGCGAGCAGGUGCGAAAGCAGGUCAUAGUGAUCCGGUGGUUCUGAAUGGAAGGGCCAUCGCUCAACGGAUAAAAGGUACUCCGGGGAUAACAGGCUGAUACCGCCCAAGAGUUCAUAUCGACGGCGGUGUUUGGCACCUCGAUGUCGGCUCAUCACAUCCUGGGGCUGAAGUAGGUCCCAAGGGUAUGGCUGUUCGCCAUUUAAAGUGGUACGCGAGCUGGGUUUAGAACGUCGUGAGACAGUUCGGUCCCUAUCUGCCGUGGGCGCUGGAGAACUGAGGGGGGCUGCUCCUAGUACGAGAGGACCGGAGUGGACGCAUCACUGGUGUUCGGGUUGUCAUGCCAAUGGCACUGCCCGGUAGCUAAAUGCGGAAGAGAUAAGUGCUGAAAGCAUCUAA